GACGAACGCUGGCGGCGCGCUUAACACAUGCAAGUCGAACGGAAAGGCCUGCUUUCCCUUGUGGAUUGCGGGUACUCGAGUGGCGAACGGGUGAGUAACACGUGAGUGAUCUGCCCCCAACUUGGGUAUAAGCCUGGGAAACUGGGUCUAAUUCCCGAUAGGACUGCAGGGUGGUGCCUGUGGUGGAAAACGAUUUUCUAGUGGUUGGGGAUGAGCUCGCGGCCUAUCAGCUUGUUGGUGGGGUAAUGGCCUACCGAGGCGGCGACGGGUAGCCGGCCUGGGGUGGGGGACGGCCAAAUUGGGACUGGGAUCGGGCCAGGACACCGAGGGGGGGGAGGAGGGGGGAAUAUUGGAAAAGGGGGGGAAGCCGGAGGCAGGGGCGCGGGGUGGGGGAGGAAGGCCUGGGGGGUGAAAACUCCUUUGGACCGGGGGGAAGCCACCUGGUUGGAAGGGGGGGGACGGUGGGGGUAAAAGAAGCCCCGGCUAACUACGU
RNAcentral lists this ribosomal RNA (493 nucleotides) under uncultured bacterium. Its description in RNAcentral is "partial 16S ribosomal RNA". It matches the Rfam family "Bacterial small subunit ribosomal RNA", at positions 28 to 506 of the family's 1533-position model. The record is from RNAcentral.